AUCGCACUUAAUCUUUUCCUCAACGUCAAUGGUUUCAACCCCGCCAUGAUAUUAUUUAAAACUGACUUCCCAAUUCCCUAUCUCACAUUUAAUUCCAUUCCAUAUGCCCCUAGCUAGCCCCUAUUUAAGUAGCUUGAACCUCCUCCUUUGUUCCGUGUAAGAUCACACACAAAAAGGCACGUAGCAUCAUCUGCUAAAGAAAAUUAAUCCAAUUACCGUUGAAGAGAAUAAAGCUUGUGGUGAUUGCACUACUAGUGUAGUGUUGAUGCUGGCAAGCUCUUCUAUGGCUGCAAAUAGGAUGAAAUUCACGCGAAAAUUGGACGAGAGAGAACUAAGUAAUGAAUCUGAUGAUAUAUAUCACCAUUCAAUCCCUGGAAUGGGUGGACCUGGCGAACGUACAGUCGGUGAGGAAUUUAGUAAACAUUACUGGCAUCACAAUCCUCACAAUCAAGGACUAAGGCACACCUUAAUUAGUUGAUGAAGGAUAUAUGUAUCACAUGCUGUAUAUAUGCCCAAGUCUUGGAGUGUUUGAUGAGUAAUGAAUGCUAGAUGAGUGUGUUGGUAAGAUAUGUAUAUAUGCAAGGAAUUAAAUUACUGAGAUCAGUGUAUCAAUUUAUAUAUGCUGGGGCAGCGUACGAUGCAAACCCUAGUGGUUCCAUGUACGUUUCCAUAUUGGUAUGCAAGAAUGUAUGAGUUGGUACCCUAAAGCUAUGUUUGUGAUUGUACAUAUAUAUGUGUCGCUUAAUGCUAGUUCUGGUGUCGCAAUUACACAAUCGGAGUUGAGUUAAUAGUAAAUAAAACAAGACUUGGUUUUAUCAA
Long non-coding RNA from Glycine soja, 819 nucleotides. RefSeq lists it as uncharacterized. NCBI's taxonomy places the organism in Eukaryota, Viridiplantae, Streptophyta, Magnoliopsida, Fabales, Fabaceae. The record is from RefSeq and is a predicted model, not a curated record. The transcript is spliced from 2 exons.